GUGGGGAAUCUUAGACAAUGGGGGCAACCCUGAUCUAGCCAUGCCGCGUGAGUGAUGAAGGCCUUAGGGUCGUAAAGCUCUUUCGCCGGGGAAGAUAAUGACUGUACCCGGUAAAGAAACCCCGGCUAACUCCGUGCCAGCAGCCGCGGUAAUACGGAGGGGGUUAGCGUUGUUCGGAAUUACUGGGCGUAAAGCGCGCGUAGGCGGAUCGGAAAGUUGGGGGUGAAAUCCCGGGGCUCAACCCCGGAAUUGCCUUCAAAACUCCCGGUCUUGAGGUCGAGAGAGGUGAGUGGAAUUCCGAGUGUAGAGGUGAAAUUCGUAGAUAUUCGGAGGAACACCAGUGGCGAAGGCGGCUCACUGGCCCAAUACUGACGCUGAGGCGCGAAAGCGUGGGGAGCAAACAGGAUUAGAAGCCCUGGUAGUCC
RNAcentral lists this ribosomal RNA (425 nucleotides) under uncultured bacterium. RNAcentral's name for it is "partial 16S ribosomal RNA". It matches the Rfam family "Bacterial small subunit ribosomal RNA", at positions 354 to 796 of the family's 1533-position model. The record is from RNAcentral.